AUGUCGCCUGGAGUGGUGGCCAGCAUGGUGGGUGGGUGGGUGGAGGACCUGGACCCUGGGUGGCCGGCCACCUGGCCUUUCCCCCUGAGCCCCCCAGCCCCGUGGGAACCCUCAACAGCCCACCUGCAGGACAUGCGCGCCCCUCCCCAAUGCAUCCGUGGCCCUGGCCCCCCACUCCCUCCCCGUCCCUCCCUGCCUGGCCCUCGCCAGUCUCACAACUCGGAUACGGCAGCCCUGGCCUGGCCCAGCCCUGACCUGUGGCACCAGCCUCCCUCUGCAGGGCCCAGCAUCUCCACCACUGGCACACAGGAGGACACCCAUCGGGGACCCUGCGUUUGCCUCCCACUCUGGGCAGCCGUGUCCCCCCGCAGAGCCCAGCCUCGUCGCCCAGGACGUCCCCACCACUGUGGCCCCACUCUGCCACGUGAGGCUCUCAGACACCACUUGGAGACUCUCCUGGCCCCAUCCACCAGGGGACAGCAGCACCGCGUGCCCAGGAUGGCGGGGCUGCGGAACAGGUCACACGUGUGUGUCCUGAGGCCUGGCGCAUCGGGGACUGAGCAUCUCGUCCUCGGAGGGGUCCAGGCAGCCACUGGUGAGGACGCGGUGGACACCUGGAGCAGGACAGGCCAUCCAUCCGCGAUGCUCCCAGCACUCGAGCUCCCCAUCCCCAGCACGGCCGGCGGAGGAAGAAGGGCCCACUCUGGUCUCGGGUCUCGGGUCUCAGGUCCCCGUCUCCGUCAGGGGGGCCUCACCGGGCAGCCGCCCUCCCUGCCAGGGCUGCAGCUGCUCAAGCUGAGGGCGAAGGGAGCCGAGGGCCAGACCCCAAGAUGCUCCGCAUCCUCUGUCCCUCUGAAGCUGGUGUCACGGGGCAGACAAGGAGAAAGACAAGAAGGAAACCUUUGCCAUGGGACACGCCAUCAAGGACCAGAGCCCCAUCACCAUGAGGAAGCCCGGCCCAUCCCGAUGGAUGAGGCCCAACCAGGACCCAGGACAUCCCGGCUCCCUCACCCCCUGCCCCUCAGAGUCACACGCUCCCUGCCCCCUCCCGGAAUGCCCGCGGCCCCACCUCCUGCGAAUACACCACUCCUCCAGGCAUCUGCCCUGUUUGCUUCUCACAGUCCCUGGGCUGGCUCCUCCUCUGGCUUCAGGGGCCUGGCGCGACGGCAAGUCCUGGCAGUGACAAGGCUUUGAUGCAAAUAAAAGGAACUCGGAGCAGCUAAGGAAAGAGGGC
Long non-coding RNA from Vulpes vulpes (red fox), 1234 nucleotides. The record is from Ensembl. NCBI's taxonomy places the organism in Eukaryota, Metazoa, Chordata, Mammalia, Carnivora, Canidae.